This is a non-coding RNA of Saccharata proteae CBS 121410, 122 nucleotides long. Lineage: Eukaryota; Fungi; Ascomycota; Dothideomycetes; Botryosphaeriales; Saccharataceae. The record is from the annotation of a GenBank genome assembly.
GGUGGGAUGGCCGAGUUGGUUAUGGCGCCAGGUUAAGGUACACCCUUGACAUCAAGUUUAGGAUCAUACAUCUUAAUCUCCUGGUUCGGAAACGAGCGUGGGUUCGAGUCCCACUCCCAUCA